AGGAAUAGAACCCAGUCUUCUGUGUGCCAUGGCUGUAAACAGUAGCCUCCUUGGUAGUGUAUGCAGCCUGUUGAUUGCAUGGGUUGCCCUAAGGGACCUUGGAGACAGCC
RNAcentral lists this small nucleolar RNA (110 nucleotides) under Zalophus californianus (California sea lion). RNAcentral describes it as "Small nucleolar RNA SNORA70 (ENSZCAG00015001279.1)". It matches the Rfam family "Small nucleolar RNA SNORA70", at positions 23 to 135 of the family's 135-position model. Rfam says of the family: snoRNA U70 seems to be exclusive to mammals and is a member of the H/ACA class of snoRNA which contain H (ANANNA) and ACA box motifs. H/ACA box snoRNAs are involved in the conversion of uridines to pseudouridines (5-ribosyluracil) a constituent of structural RNAs (transfer, ribosomal, small nuclear, and small nucleolar). The record is from RNAcentral. Lineage: Eukaryota; Metazoa; Chordata; Mammalia; Carnivora; Otariidae.